RNAcentral lists this ribosomal RNA (465 nucleotides) under uncultured bacterium. RNAcentral's name for it is "partial 16S ribosomal RNA". It matches the Rfam family "Bacterial small subunit ribosomal RNA", at positions 338 to 795 of the family's 1533-position model. The record is from RNAcentral.
CCUACGGGUGGCAGCAGUGGGGAAUUUUGGACAAUGGGCGCAAGCCUGAUCCAGCUAUUCCGCGUGUGGGAAGACGGCCUUCUGGUUGUAAACCACUUUUGUAGAGAACGUAAAGUCCGUUGAUAAUACCGCUAGAUGAUGACGGUACUCUAAGAAUAAGCAUCGGCUAACUACGUCCCAGCCGCCGCGGUAAUACGUAGGGUGCGUGCGUUAAUCGGAAUUACUGGGCGUAAAGGGUGUGCAGGCGGUUUUGCAAGAUGGAUGUGAAAGCCCCGGGCUUAACCUGGGAAAGCCAUACAUGACUGGAAGACUAGAGUGCGUCAGAGGGAGGUGGAAUUCGAAGUGCAGCAGUGAAAUGCGUAGAUAUUUGGAAGAACACCGAUGGCGAAGGCAGCCCCCUGGGACGCAACUGACACUCAUACACGAAAGCGUGGGGAGCAAACAGGAUUAGAUACCCCUGUAGUC